Small nucleolar RNA from Molossus molossus (Pallas's mastiff bat), 144 nucleotides. NCBI's taxonomy places the organism in Eukaryota, Metazoa, Chordata, Mammalia, Chiroptera, Molossidae. The record is from RefSeq and is a predicted model, not a curated record.
ACUUCACCUUGUUAGAGCUUGGAGUUGAGGCCAGUGGUAGCUGAUGAACUCACAAGUGUAGGUAGUGCUACAUGAGGGACAAGUUUUUCGCUAAAGGGUCUCUGGCCCAGUGAGUGGAGUUUGAUAGUAACCUUUGCUAUGUGU